Molecule: ribosomal RNA, 823 nt
Filed under: Lactiplantibacillus plantarum
Lineage: Bacteria; Bacillati; Bacillota; Bacilli; Lactobacillales; Lactobacillaceae
Description: bacterial SSU rRNA
Rfam family: Bacterial small subunit ribosomal RNA
Source: RNAcentral
CUUUCGUCUCAACCGAAGAAGUGCAUCGCAAGCUGGGAAACUUGAGUGCAGAAGAGGACAGCGAAAGUCCAGGUGUCCCGCUGAACUGCGCAGAUAUAUGGAACAACACCAGUGGCCAAGGCGUCUGUCCGUUCUGUCCCAGACGAGGCAGCCUCGAAAGUCUGCAUAGCCAACCCAAUCAGAUACCCUCGUAGCCCAUGCUGUAACCGAUGUAUGCUCAGUGUUGGAGGGUUUCCGCCGUUCAGUGCUGCAGCUAACGCAUUAAGCAUUCCGCUUGGGGAGUACGGCCGCAAGGCUGAAACUCAAAGGAAUUGACGGGGGCCCGCACAAGCGGUGGAGCAUGUGGUUUAAUUCGAAGCUACGCGAAGAACCUUACCAGGUCUUGACAUACUAUGCAAAUCUAAGAGAUUAGACGUUCCCUUCGGGGACAUGGAUACAGGUGGUGCAUGGUUGUCGUCAGCUAGUGUCGUGAGAUGUUGGGUUAAGUCCCGCAACGAGCGCAACCCUUAUUAUCAGUUGCCAGCAUUAAGUUGGGCACUCUGGUGAGACUGCCGGUGACAAACCGGAGGAAGGUGGGGAUGACGUCAAAUCAUCAUGCCCCUUAUGACCUGGGCUACACACGUGCUACAAUGGAUGGUACAACGAGUUGCGAACUCCCGAGAGUAAGCUAAUCUCUUAAAGCCAUUCUCAGUUCGGAUUGUAGGCUGCAACUCGCCUACAUGAAGUCGGAAUCGCUAGUAAUCGCGGAUCAGCAUGCCGCGGUGAAUACGUUCCAGGGCCUUGUACACGCCGCCCGUCACACCAUGAUAGUGGGUAACCCCCA